Molecule: ribosomal RNA, 301 nt
Filed under: uncultured bacterium
Lineage: Bacteria
Description: partial 16S ribosomal RNA
Rfam family: Bacterial small subunit ribosomal RNA
Source: RNAcentral
CAGCAGCCACGGGAAUACGUAGGGUGCAAGCGUUAAUCGGAAUUACUGGGCGUAAAGCGUGCGCAGGCGGUUUGUUAAGACAGAUGUGAAAUCCCCGGGCUUAACCUGGGAACUGCAUUUGUGACUGGCAAGCUAGAGUAUGGCAGAGGGGGGUGGAAUUCCGCGUGUAGCAGUGAAAUGCGUAGAUAUGCGGAGGAACACCGAUGGCGAAGGCAGCCCCCUGGGCCAAUACUGACGCUCAUGCACGAAAGCGUGGGGAGCAAACAGGAUUAGAGACCCGCGUAGUCCCUGUCUCUUAUAA